GAGUUUGAUGGUGGCUCAGGAUGAACGCUAGCGACAGGCCUAACACAUGCAAGUCGAGGGGUAACAGAUAUAAAGCUUGCUUUAUAUGCUGACGACCGGCGCACGGGUGAGUAACACGUAUGCAACCUACCUUUUACAGGAGAAUAACCCAGAGAAAUUUGGACUAAUACUCCAUAAUAUUUUUGUAUCGCAUGAUAUAGAAAUUAAAGUUCCGGCGGUAAAAGAUGGGCAUGCGUCCUAUUAGUUAGUUGGUAAGGUAACGGCUUACCAAGGCUAUGAUAGGUAGGGGUUCUGAGAGGAUAAUCCCCCACAUUGGUAC
This 319-nucleotide ribosomal RNA is filed under the name uncultured Bacteroides sp. Its description in RNAcentral is "bacterial SSU rRNA". It matches the Rfam family "Bacterial small subunit ribosomal RNA", at positions 9 to 319 of the family's 1533-position model. The record is from RNAcentral. Lineage: Bacteria; Pseudomonadati; Bacteroidota; Bacteroidia; Bacteroidales; Bacteroidaceae.